AUUGAACGCUGGCGGCAGGCUUAACACAUGCAAGUCGAGCGGAGCGAGGGUGCUAGCACCUUAGCUUAGCGGCGGACGGGUGAGUAAUGCUUAGGAAUCUGCCUAUUAGUGGGGGACAACAUUCCGAAAGGGAUGCUAAUACCGCAUACGCCCUACGGGGGAAAGCAGGGGAUCUUCGGACCUUGCGCUAAUAGAUGAGCCUAAGUCGGAUUAGCUAGUUGGUGGGGUAAAGGCCUACCAAGGCGACGAUCUGUAGCGGGUCUGAGAGGAUGAUCCGCCACACUGGGACUGAGACACGGCCCAGACUCCUACGGGAGGCAGCAGUGGGGAAUAUUGGACAAUGGGCGGAAGCCUGAUCCAGCCAUGCCGCGUGUGUGAAGAAGGCCUUUUGGUUGUAAAGCACUUUAAGCGAGGAGGAGGCUACUAGUAUUAAUACUACUGGAUAGUGGACGUUACUCGCAGAAUAAGCACCGACUAACUCUGUGCCAGCCGCCGCCGUAA
This 501-nucleotide ribosomal RNA is filed under the name uncultured bacterium. RNAcentral's name for it is "partial 16S ribosomal RNA". It matches the Rfam family "Bacterial small subunit ribosomal RNA", at positions 30 to 523 of the family's 1533-position model. The record is from RNAcentral.